This is a long non-coding RNA of Cavia porcellus (domestic guinea pig), 7462 nucleotides long. RefSeq lists it as uncharacterized. Lineage: Eukaryota; Metazoa; Chordata; Mammalia; Rodentia; Caviidae. The record is from RefSeq and is a predicted model, not a curated record. The transcript is spliced from 3 exons.
GAUGAUCAUAUAACUUUUGACCUUGGCUCUCUUAAUAUGGUAUGUUAUAUUUAUUGAUUUAUUUAUGUUGAAUCACUCCAGAACCCCUGGGAUGAAUCACAUUUGAUCAUAAUGUGAAACUUUCUCGAUGAUUUGCUGUAUUCUCUUUGCCAGUGUCAUGGUUUAUGUCUGUGGCCCCCAGGCCUCAUGCAUUUGCAUUGUGCAUUUGUGAUUGGUUCAUUGUCUAGUGCUUGGAUUGAUGGUGUCAGUGUUACACCCACAUAGGGGUGGGAGCCAGGAUGUGAUGUAAUGGCAGGAAGAAGGUGUGUCUUGCUCUUUUCUGGUUCCUGUUUGCUGUUUGCAGCCGCCGUGAGCUGCGACCCAGCCAUGCCUGCCUGUUUUGGAGCCAACUGAGUGUGGACUGAAACCUCCAAAAACUGUAAGAAAUAAACCUUUCCUUUCCCAACUUGGGCAUCAGGUAUUUUGUCUCAGUGAGGAGCAUAAAGUAGCUAAGACAGCCAGUAUCUUAGUGAGGAUUUUUGCAACAAUGUUCAUUAGGGAAGUUGGCCUACAAUUCAUUUUCUUAGUUGGGUGCUUUUCUGGUUUUUGUAUCAGGGUAAUGCUUACUUCCAGGAAUGAAUUUGGGGGCAUUGCUUCUCUUUCAAUUUCAUUAAAGAGUUUAAGAAGCAGUGGUGUUAAAUAUUCACUAGAUUUCCUGUAGAAUUCAUCAGUGAAUUUAUCAGGGCCUGGACUUUUCUUUGUUGAUAGGUUUUCAAUUGUAUCUUUAAUUUCAUUUAUUGAUACUGGGUUAUUUAGAAUUUUUAUAUAUUCUUUAUUCUGCUUUGGCAAUUCAUAUAUAUCUAGGAAAUGCCCAUUUCUUCUAUAUUUUCCAUCUUGUUAGAAUACAAGUUUUCAAAGCAGGUAGAGAUGAUCUUCUGGAUUUCUGCAGGUUCUGUUGUGAUUUCACCCUUUUCAUUUCUAAUUGCAUAAAUGUGAGUCUUUUCUUUUUUUGAUAAGGUUGGCUAAGGACGUAUCAAUUUUAUUUAAUCUUUCAAAGAACCAGCUAUUCAAUUUAUUGAUGCUUUGUAUUGUUUUUUAGUCUCCAAGACAUUAAUUUCUACUGUGAUCUUUAUAAUUUCAUCCCUCAUACAAGAUUUUGGCUUAAUCUGCUUUUCACUUUCUAGAAGUUUGAAAUUCACCAGUAAGUUGUUUAAAUGCACUUGUUGUUUUCCUUAUAUGGGUAUUUACUGUUAUAAAUUUCCUUCUUAGGACUGUUUUCAUUGUGUUCCAUAGAGUACAGUAUGUUGUACUGUCAUCAUUUAUCUGUAAAAAUUGCCCAAUUUCUUCUUUAAUUCUUCUUUAAUUCUGUCUAACCCAUUGGUUUUUUAGGAUAGUAGUACUUAAUUUUCAUAUGUUUAUGAAGUUCUUGUGCUUUCUUUUGCCAUGUAUCCAAUUUCAAUGCAUUGUGGUCUGGUAGUAUGCACAGGAUAAUUUUAAUUCCUUUGCAUUUACCUAAGCAUAUUGUAUUUUGGAGAACAUCCUAUGUGCAGCUGAGAAGAAUGUGUAUUCUGAUGUUGUGGGGUCACACACUCUAUAGAUAUCUACUAGCUACAUUUGUUCAAAAGUUUGAUCCAGUUCUAAUAUUUCAUUAUUGAUUUUUUGUCUAGUUCAUCUGUUUUUGUGGUAGUGGGGUAUUAAUGUCUCCCAAUUCAAUUGUAUUAGGACUUAUUUGAUUUUUCAUGUUCAUUAGCAUUUGUUUUAUAUAGUUGGGUGCACUGGUAUUUGUUGUAUACAUAUUUAUGAUUCUUAUCUCUUCCUCUUGGAUCAUUCCCUUUAUGAGGAUGUAGUGACCUUCUUGGUCUCUCUUCAGUCUUGGUCUAAAAUUCACUUUUUCAGCAAAUAGAAUAGCUACCCCUAGUUUUUUUCUAGGUUUCUGUCACAUGGAGUAUUGUUUUCCAGCCUUUGAUUCUCAGUCUAUGAAUUUCUUUUUGCAUUAAAUGUGUUUCUUGUGUGCAGCAUAUUGUUGGAUCUGGCUUCUUGAUUCAUUCUGCCAGUCUGGGUCUUUUGAUUGAGAUCAUUAACGUUGAUGGUUAUAACCAUCAAUAUGUAUUGACUUGUCCAUGUCAUGAUUUUUCCUGUUGUUGGCUUCGCUCUUUUUCUCUUUCCUCUAAUUAUCUGCCUUGCAAUGGAUUCCUUCUGUUGAGGUUCAUGGGGCUGUAGUCCUUAUAAUCUCUUUCUGGAAUGUUCUUCAGAACAUUUUGGAGUGCUGAUUUGGUGGAUAAAUUUCCUCAGCUGUUAUUUGUCAUGUAAGUAUCUUAUUUCUACAUCAGUUUUGAAAGAUAGUUCUGCAAGGUGCAUCAGCUGGGGUUAAAAGUUGUUUUCCUUGAGGUGAGAGUUUCUGCUAAGAAGUCAGCUGUGAUUCUGAUGGACUUUCCUUUAUAGGUGACUUGUUUCUUUUCUCUCACAGCUUUUAAUAUUCUAUUUUUACAUUGAAUUUCUGGAAUUUUGACUAUGAUAUGCCUGGAUGUAGAUUUUUUUUGGUCAUAGCUAGUUAGAUUUCUAUAUGCUUCACUUACUUGUAUGUCAAAUUCUAUUUCUCUAUCAGGAAAGUUUUCCAUCAUGAUAGCUGUGAACAUUUUCUUGAUGUCAUUUGUGGUAUCUCCUGCUUUUUCAUUGAAUCCAAUCAAUCUUGUUAAUCUUCUUUGUCUCAUCUAGCAGCUGCUGAAUUGGUUUCUCAUGUUCCUUUGCUAGUUUUGAGAAGUCUUUCAUUUCCUGGUUACUCACUGCAAGCCUGUCUCCAAUAUCUGAGAUCCUGUCCUCACACUGGCCUAAUCAACUUCAAAUAUUUUCAAAGGAAUUUUUGUUCUCCUGGAUAUCUGUAUGAAUCUGUUUCUUGGGUUGCAUUUCUUUCAUUUUCUGAGUUUUCCUAAUUUUUUUGAGCUCAUCUAUUUUUUUUUUUGUUUGUUUGUUUAUAUCUGGUCUAGCACCACUAACCAUGUUCUUUAUUUUGGAUAUCAUCUCUGUAGUUAUCUGAGAGAUUAUUUCUGAUUUUAUUUUUCCUGAGCCUCAUUCAAUUGCUUUUUUGUUGUUACUUCAGAGAGGCCUGGUGGGAGGCUUUCUGAUCACCUCACCUUAUUACCCACUGGAUUUGCACUUAGCAAACUUGAUGUCUCUGGUUGCAUUUUGUUUAAGUGUCUGCUUGUUUUCUCUUAUUUCUUCCUUUCUUUUUUUAAGUUUCAUUCUGGGGGGAUGCUCAUAAAUUGCCUAUAGUAGGUUGUUUUAUUGCUGAUAUUUAGAAUCCUUAUGUGAUGACUACUCCUCAGAGGUAUCUUCUGGGUAUAGUUGGUUUUUGGGUUUUGAGUCUUUUAAAAGAUCUUAGCUCUUCAGUUUGUUGGAGAUGAGAAGUUGUUUUUUUGGCUCAGCCCCUGGUUCUUUGGCACUGUGCCACAGUAUUUUCUGUGACCCUUAGUCAAUUUUGGUUAUGGAAUACCAGGACCAACAGCUGUUUAGAACUAUUAAGCCAAUUUUGGCUGUAGUGGUACCAACAGCAUCACACAGCCUAGAAAAUAACAGACUGAGAUAACCCUUAAUUUGCCAUUUUAACUGUAUGAACUAGAUCUAUGGUUAUAUAACACAAUCUAAAACAAACCAGAAACUUAUAUGCAGUAUACAAUGAUAUGUCAAUUGGUAUGUCAAUUUUGCCCUUGGAGGUUAAAAUUUAAUAUAGUUUAAGGAGAAAACAGAGAACUGGAAGACAGGAAGAGAUUAAAAGUAAAGUGAGAGGGCCAAGGGAGAUCACACGAACUUUGGGAAGCUGGUGUAGAAGACUGAAGGGAAAGAAUGCAGCAAGAGGUGAAAAGGACAGAAUGGAGCCACAGGGAGGCUAGAAACCAUGUUCACACUUAUAUAAAAUAAGGCCAAACAUGGAAGAGAAAGAAAAAAAAACAAUAAGCAAACAAAAACUAAGAUUCAAAGACAAGCAUGAGAGAGCGGAGGGAGAAGACAGAAAAAAGUCUGCUUCCAGGUUUGUCCAGGUCUGUCGCUGGCAGACAAGCUGUGGAGACAGCCUUGAUCCGUGUAAGUCUGUCCCAGCACACCAGCAGCAGCUUUUUGGUGGGGUGGUGCACUUUCUGGUGGAGACCAGUUACAUUGGUUCGCCUUCUUUCCAGCACUUUCCAUGCAUCUGAGCCCUUCUGGGAGCCACUAGAGGGAGCCAGUUCUGAGUUCUGAUCUCAAGCUGCGCAUCUCCAAGAUGCCUCCAGGCCAGCUGUUUUCUCCUGCUGCAAGAAUGAGACCCCUGCAUUCCCCACUCCUGCAUUCACCACCAGUCAGUGCAGUCCUUCACGUCCUCAGCUCCCCUCCACAUCCACUGGUCCCCUCAGUGCUGCACCUCUCUGCAGAGGCCUCUAGGAUCACCAGCUGUCACCGUCACCAUGACUGUGCACCCACAGGAUCAACUAAGGUCCUGGACCCAAGGAGGAAGUGGCCCCAGCCUGGAAAAGCAGCACAGACCCAGAUGCGCUCUGGGCCCCAGCCUUGGCCCAUCUUGUUCUCCACAGUGAGCUCCAGUCCCACCUGCAGCUUCUGGAGCUGUGAGCCAAAGUAAACCUUAAAGGUAGCACAUGAAGAGCAGUGGUUCUCAACAACUGGGAGUGAUGCUGGCUCGCAGAGAACACUAGGCACAUCUAGAGGUGUGCUGUUGUCCUGGCUGUGGAGCGAAGGCACUGAGGCCCCCAUGUGUGGGUACCAGGGCUGGGGCUGUGCGAUCCCCACAGGAGACAAUCUUACAGCAAGAAUCACCUAAUGCAGUCACCAGCAGUGUGGGGUCGGAUACGUGUGUUCUACAGCAAGCUGAACCCUCAAGAAAUAUGAGAGCUGAAAAACCCUGUUAAAUGACACUGAGAUGCCAUCAUGAUCCACUUUCUUUAACAAACAAGUGGAAUAAAAAUGGGAGGGGGGGACACUUAAAUCGACCUUUUAGAGAAAAUAACAUGUGUGGACAUCACUUGAAUUCUGAUUCAAAAUGACUGUAAAGAAAAUUUUUGAGGUAUCAAGGGAAAUUCAGGCAUGGCUGUUAUUAGAUAAUACUAAGAAAAUUGCAUUAGAUGUGAUAUUAAUGUAGUUUAUUUUAUGAAACAUUAACUUUUUAUAAGUGAAUGAUACAAGAGAGGGGAUAUGCUUUUUUUAAAAAGCACUUCUCAAAGCACAGGGAGCCCCGAGACUCUUUGCAGGGAUUUAUGUUACGGUAUCCUUUACCUUGCUGACCACUUGACAUUGGACUGAUGGUGCAGAACAGUGAACGGCACUGCUGAUGUCUCUGCAGACACCAAAGUGGUCUCAGGGACCAUUCCAGCAGCCACGGACUCUACAGCACCACCUGGUUUGAGGAAGAAACAAAUUAAAAAUGAAAGGCAUCCCGCUGCACUGAAGCUUGCACUGCAGCAUCUUUUGCUCUUUCUCAAGGUGUGACAGCAGCACUUCACCUAAGGGUGGCUGUGGUCUCCAGAGGUAGCAGGUGUCUGUUUUUUGGGUUCAAGCAGAACCAGAUGUUUUUGCCAUGGAACAUGAUGUUUACUUGAAAAACUAACAGGUGAAUUAUGGUCAAUUCAGACUUGGGUAUUUUGGCAGGCAUUUUUUUCAAAAAUCCACAGUCAAGUGUUAUUUUAAAUAAAAUGAUGAACAAAAUUUGUGUCCAGUAAUAAAACUGAAGCUUUCAAAUGAAAAUUCAAAUUUGAUAAAAGAUGUAUUUGAGAGCUUGCCAUAAUAUAAAGGUGUUCUGAUGAGAUUUUCUACAUUAACAAAUAUAAUUUUUGCAUCUUGCAUCAUAAAUAGGCUGGCAUUUGGAAGGGCUGUAACCCCAGGCCAGCCAGAGUUUUCCAAGUGGCCAAUGCAUGAAGAAACAAAGUCAUGCACAGGUAAAAGAUCCCCGCAGAGUGCAGCAAAUACAAUGGAUUUUCAUAACAAAGUAUGAAACCUCCAAUGUCAUUUAGAUUCACUAUUGCAGAUGCCACCAAAUGAAGAGAAAGAGUUUACUGGGAAAUGUUCUGACAAAGUGGGAGUUUGGUUACUUUUCUCAUUACUGGGACAAAAUAUUUGACACUGACAAGUUAAAGAAAAAAGUUUACUUCAGCUCACAGUUUGUAGAGGUUUCAGUCCGUAGUGUGGGUUCCAAGGCCGGUGGCGUGGCACAAGGGCACUGCAGAGCAGAAACAGUCUAUGAAAGGGCAGGUGGGAGGGAGAAGGCAGUGGCGAGCCUGCCUCUUUCCGUUCCUUUGUGUUCCAUCGGCUCAAGCCUAUUGACUGGUGCCACCCACACCAGGGUGGGUCUUCGUCUUCAGUAAACAGCCAGUACUACGUAAUCCAGACGCUGCAUACCAUUAAUCCCUGUAUCAAAUGCUUAGACCCAAUUACCUUCCAAAAGUCCCACCACUGAGCUCAUGAGGCUUUGGAGAACAUCUAGAUACAAACCAUGAUGAUGCCCCAAAUGUCAAGUUCUCCUCCCCAAGACAGGUUCAGGGCUUUGAUAGGGCAGAGGACGAGGGUACGGGGCAGGGUGACUGGAGUCAGGAAAGUGAAGGGCGAGGUGGCCAGCACUGCCUGGCUCCUCACAUGCAUGGGCAGAGCGCACUUGGCUUCCUACAUCAAAAGGUCACCUGUGGGGCCCAAGUGAAGGCUCAGCAUUUUAACCGUUUGAGCUAGUUAAGGUGACUACUAAGUUUGUUACCACAGUCUCAUCAUGUACAGCAAAGCCAAUCAAGCCCGUGACUUUACUGCUGAUAUAAAUGACUGCUAAAAUCAGCCAUGGAACCAAUAACUAGCAGCCAGUGCUGCUGGAGGGUGUGUGCAGGUUUCCCCGAGGUUUCCAAACCAGCAAUUCAGAUACUGCUGCAUCAAAUCCAGUGUCAAGAAAAAAUAUCCACAAAUAUCUGAAAAGACAACUAAAUAUGUCUCAUUUUCCAGAUGCAUAUCUGUGCGAGGCCAGGUUUCUCUAUUUAUUUCAAACAACAAAUAGUAGCUAACAAUGCAGAAGGGGACAUUAAGAACCCAGUGUCUGUAUUUGACUAGACGUUGAAGAGAUUUGUAAAAGGUUAAACAGUGCCACUCUUUUUGUUUCGUAAAAUAUAGUUUUUAUUAAAAUAUGUCAUUUAUAUGAACAAGUAAUAGAUGUGUUAUUGUUAAACAUGUUAAAUAUUUUAAGGUUUCUCAGUUUUAUGAAUAUAAAAUCAUCAGCUUUCAUGAACAAAAGCUCUUCAGGGUCUCAUCAUUUUGUAAAACUGCAAAGGAAUGUUAAAACCAAAAUUUUUGAGAAAUCCUAAUUUAAAAUAGUCUAGAUGUAAAAUGAAACUAAACCAAGACAACCACAACCCAUGACAGGGAGAAGACAGGCACGACCAGCCCAAGCUGCAGUUUCAUGACAGCUCUGCAGAUUCACUGUGCUACUCUUUCUCCCGGGCAUGCUUUGUAUUUCUGAAAUAAAUCUUUU